AACACUCAGCCCUGGGCCCGGCGGAUGUGGAGCGUUUGGGGAGCUCAGCUAUUGUCUUCAAUAGUAUGAUUCCUCCAGAUGGUGGGAGCACCGGGGCCCCCGCAGGCCCGAGAGAACCGUCGCCAGCUUUGCUUCCCCUUCCCUUUGUGAAACCACUGACGCCUCUGCAGGUCCUCGUGUUAAAUUACAGCCACACCUACUUCCCAGGGUGGUGGAGAGGAUGCCGGGAGUCGGUGCGCGAGUAAGGCUUUGGGAAUGGGGCCUGGUACUGGCUGAGUGCUCAGAAACAGCAAGGGCAGUGAUGGUAUCUGACGCAUUGAGCACUUACCACGUCCACUCUCCAGAUUUAACCCUGACAACCUACGCAUGAGGGAGACUGCACAGCAAUGAGACUGCGAAGUAUGAUGAAAUGUGAAGAUGGAAAGCAAAUUGAUGUCAGCAUUAAGCGAACACUGGAGAAGCCUGGCCUCUGGGUGACUUCUUAAGAGCAGACUGGACAGGCCUUAUUCCCUCCGACCCCCUCGCUUAGUGGAAUGAAAAGUGAACCGGCUUUGGAGUCAGAAACCUGGAUUCUCUCGGGCUCUGACCCUCAGUAGCUGUGAGGCCUCGGACAAGUCACUCAACCUCGAGAGACUUCGUUCUCCUCAUCUAUAGAAGAGUGAU
This is a long non-coding RNA of Myotis myotis, 663 nucleotides long. RefSeq lists it as uncharacterized. NCBI's taxonomy places the organism in Eukaryota, Metazoa, Chordata, Mammalia, Chiroptera, Vespertilionidae. The transcript has 3 exons. The record is from RefSeq and is a predicted model, not a curated record.